UGUAGGAGUCAUUCCAAUACCCUCUUCAUCAUCAGAAUCUUCUUCUAUUGUUGCACCAAUAGGGAUGUCAUAUACAUGUCGAUGCUGACAUUCUUGCACAACAUGCCAGUUUUGUCCCAGUUUCGUGUCUUGUAAAUAAUAAACUUGCUUUGCUUGGUUCGCAAGAAUAAAUGAAUCAUUCUUAUACUAUAAUCUGGUUAUAUUUAUGCUUUGCAUAUUUUCAUUUAUCCUGACAUUAGUAUUUCUAAAUCCA
RNAcentral lists this long non-coding RNA (253 nucleotides) under Elaeis guineensis (African oil palm). Its description in RNAcentral is "long non-coding RNA (EGUI_LNC068418)". Lineage: Eukaryota; Viridiplantae; Streptophyta; Magnoliopsida; Arecales; Arecaceae. The record is from RNAcentral.